AAAUUGAAGAGUUUGAUCAUGGCUCAGAUUGAACGCUGGCGGCAGGCCUAACACAUGCAAGUCGAACGGUAACAGGAAGAAGCUUGCUUCUUUGCUGACGAGUGGCGGACGGGUGAGUAAUGUCUGGGAAACUGCCUGAUGGAGAGGGAUAACUACUGGAAACGGUAGCUAAUACCGCAUAACGUCGCAAGACCAAAGAGGGGGACCUUCGGGCCUCUUGCCAUCGGAUGUGCCCAGAUGGGAUUAGCUAGUAGGUGGGGUAACGGCUCACCUAGGCGACGAUCCCUAGCUGGUC
Molecule: ribosomal RNA, 295 nt
Filed under: Escherichia coli O55:H7 str. USDA 5905
Lineage: Bacteria; Pseudomonadati; Pseudomonadota; Gammaproteobacteria; Enterobacterales; Enterobacteriaceae
Description: partial 16S ribosomal RNA
Rfam family: Bacterial small subunit ribosomal RNA
Source: RNAcentral